GAUGAACGCUGGCGGCGUGCCUAAUACAUGCAAGUCGAGCGAACAGAUGAGGAGCUUGCUCCUCUGACGUUAGCGGCGGACGGGUGAGUAACACGUGGAUAACCUACCUAUAAGACUGGGAUAACUUCGGGAAACCGGAGCUAAUACCGGAUAAUAUAUUGAACCGCAUGGUUCAAUAGUGAAAGACGGUUUUGCUGUCACUUAUAGAUGGAUCCGCGCCGCAUUAGCUAGUUGGUAAGGUAACGGCUUACCAAGGCAACGAUGCGUAGCCGACCUGAGAGGGUGAUCGGCCACACUGGAACUGAGACACGGUCCAGACUCCUACGGGAGGCAGCAGUAGGGAAUCUGCCGCAAUGGGCGAAAGCCUGACGGAGCAACGCCGCGUGAGUGAUGAAGGUCUUCGGAUCGUAAAACUCUGUUAUUAGGAAGAACAAAUGUGUAAGUAACUAUGCACGUCUUGACGGUACCUAAUCAGAAAGCCACGGCUAACUACGUG
Molecule: ribosomal RNA, 496 nt
Filed under: uncultured bacterium
Lineage: Bacteria
Description: partial 16S ribosomal RNA
Rfam family: Bacterial small subunit ribosomal RNA
Source: RNAcentral